CAAAUGAUGAGAAUACCUUGUUGAAAGAUGUUGAUUUCACAAUCAAAUGAUUGUACAACCCUCUAAGAAGUUCUGACACGUUUU
Molecule: non-coding RNA, 84 nt
Organism: Plasmodium fragile
Lineage: Eukaryota; Apicomplexa; Aconoidasida; Haemosporida; Plasmodiidae
Source: Rfam